Molecule: transfer RNA, 87 nt
Filed under: Bacillota bacterium
Lineage: Bacteria; Bacillati; Bacillota
Description: Firmicutes bacterium (anaerobic digester metagenome) tRNA-Leu
Rfam family: tRNA
About the family: Transfer RNA (tRNA) molecules are approximately 80 nucleotides in length. Their secondary structure includes four short double-helical elements and three loops (D, anti-codon, and T loops). Further hydrogen bonds mediate the characteristic L-shaped molecular structure. tRNAs have two regions of fundamental functional importance: the anti-codon, which is responsible for specific mRNA codon recognition, and the 3' end, to which the tRNAs corresponding amino acid is attached (by aminoacyl-tRNA synthetases). tRNAs cope with the degeneracy of the genetic code in two manners: having more than one tRNA (with a specific anti-codon) for a particular amino acid; and 'wobble' base-pairing, i.e. permitting non-standard base-pairing at the 3rd anti-codon position.
Source: RNAcentral
GCGGGUGUGGCGGAAUUGGCAGACGCGCAGGACUUAGGAUCCUGUGGGUUACCGCCCGUGAGGGUUCAAAUCCCUCCGCCCGCACCA